Molecule: long non-coding RNA, 1251 nt
Filed under: Manduca sexta (tobacco hornworm)
Lineage: Eukaryota; Metazoa; Arthropoda; Insecta; Lepidoptera; Sphingidae
Description: uncharacterized LOC119190997, transcript variant X3
Source: RNAcentral
UAAGUAUAGUCAAUUCCAGGAUAAAUUAUAUGAAAUAUGGACACCCAAAAAUUUCACUUCAGAUGUAGUGGGUAACAAACAAUUAUUAUAUUGCACAGCAGGUGUACUGUGACAAUGUUUACCAAAUACAAUAACUUUAGACUUGGAUGGAUUCACACUGAGAUCAAGGAAUCCCUAUUUGUAAUAACUCAAGGCAUAGAAUAUCUAUGUUUACACUAUUAAAAGCACCUGCGAUGUCAAAGAAUACACCGACCAAGUUUUCAUUUGCGGAUAUAGAGUUUUGUAUAUCCAGCUGUAACUGGCAAACGCUUUCUAGCAGAACGAUUUCUACGAAAACCAAAUUGAUUGGAAGGAAUAUGAUAACUAGUACCAAGAGGACAAUCAUGUACAGACCAGUCACAGUUGAGAGCCAGUGAUGAAGAUACCAAUGAUAAAUCCAAAGCAUUGGGUCGCCAUGUUGGAGAACCGAUAGUCGUUGCUUGCCCAUCAUUAAGGAGAACCAAAUUAUUAUCCUCAAUAACCUCUAGAAUAUUUCGACCACGCGGGCUGUCGGAACCACAGCCCCAACAAGUGUGAUGAGCGUUAAAAUCGCCCGCAAAUAUGAAAGGACUAGGAAUAGACUUAACCAAUGUAUCAAAAUUGUUUUUGCUGAAGACUGGGUUAGAGUUUAAAGGACUAUAGAAACUAACUAUACAUAUAUCUUUAUUAUUAACUGUUAUUUUCACACAUACAUUUUGUAAGGAAUUAUCGAAAUAGGUGUUAAUUCUAGAAUAAAUAAUGCUUUUAUGUAUUAUAAUUGCAACACCAUUGUGUUUGUUACCACAAUCAUUCCUUUCAACAUUGUAAUUUUUAAUUUUAAAAUUUUGUUCAGGUUUUAACCAAGUUUCACUGAUUAUAGCAAUAUGAAUAUUGUGUGUAUAAAGAAAAUUAAUAAAUAUAUGUUUGUUACUAUUCAGACUUUGGGCAUUCCAUUGUAUUAUAUUUAAAGUUGAUAAAUCCAUUAUGAAGAUGAAGGGAAUUUAUUACUUAGCGUUGCUUUUAAAACUUCUUUAAUGGAAGUAGAAUUAAUAGGGGCAUCUUUAUUACUUAUUAUUUUAAUAAUUGUUUCAACUAAUGUGCUUAUAAAUGUAUCCGAUUUCAUUAAAUUAUUAAUUUGCGUAUCUAAAGUACGAGCAGAAAGAGCUGGAAAUGCAUUGGAGUCAAAAAGUUCUGAAUAUGUGGCAUUUCUAGAUUUUAUUUUAUUUUCUUCAA